GCGGCGGACGGGUUAGUAACGCGUGGGAACGUACCCUUCUCUACGGAAUAGCCAUUGGAAACGAUGAGUAAUACCGUAUGUGCCCUUCGGGGGAAAGAUUUAUCGCCAAAGGAUUGGCCCGCGUUGGAUUAGGUAGUUGGUGGGGUAAUGGCCUACCAAGUCUACGAUCUUUAGCUGGUUUGAGAGGAUGAUCAGCAACACGGGGACUGAGACACGGCCCAGACUCC
This 227-nucleotide ribosomal RNA is filed under the name uncultured bacterium. Its description in RNAcentral is "partial 16S ribosomal RNA". It matches the Rfam family "Bacterial small subunit ribosomal RNA", at positions 95 to 339 of the family's 1533-position model. The record is from RNAcentral.